AUUGAACGCUGGCGGCAUGCUUUACACAUGCAAGUCGAACGGUAACAGGCCGCAAGGUGCUGACGAGUGGCGAACGGGUGAGUAAUUCAUCGGAACGUGCCCAGUCGUGGGGGAUAACUACUCGAAAGAGUAGCUAAUACCGCAUACGAUCUAUGGAUGAAAGCGGGGGACCGUAAGGCCUCGCGCGAUUGGAGCGGCCGAUGUCAGAUUAGGUAGUUGGUGGGGUAAAGGCUCACCAAGCCAACGAUCUGUAGCUGGUCUGAGAGGACGACCAGCCACACUGGGACUGAGACACGGCCCAGACUCCUACGGGAGGCAGCAGUGGGGAAUUUUGGACAAUGGGCGCAAGCCUGAUCCAGCAAUGCCGCGUGCAGGAAGAAGGCCUUCGGGUUGUAAACUGCUUUUGUACGGAACGAAACGGCUCUGGUUAAUACCCGGGGCUAAUGACGGUACCGUAAGAAUAAGCACCGGCUAACUACGUG
Molecule: ribosomal RNA, 482 nt
Filed under: uncultured bacterium
Lineage: Bacteria
Description: partial 16S ribosomal RNA
Rfam family: Bacterial small subunit ribosomal RNA
Source: RNAcentral